UGUAGUCUCUACUAGUGAUUUUUUGAGGCGGCCCAACAUCUUCACUUAUUAAUUGGAGGACGAGGACCCCUUAAAGCAGAGGACAUGCACGCUCACACACACACAGAGCCGUCCUCCAGAGGUGGUGCAGCAGCAGCAGCCCGCACACCACCUCACUGUUUCUAUGUAUGUGCGGGCACAGUGCAGACAGAGGUUGUAAACAUGGCGGCGGACGGGAUGGUGCUCACCAACCACGACCAUCAGACCCGAGUGGGGAUUCUGACGGUGAGUGACAGCUGCUUCAGGAACCUGGCUGAGGACCGCAGUGGAGUCAACCUGAAGGACCUGGUCCAUGAUCCCUCACUGCCAACAACAGCUUCAAAAAAACUAUUUCCCUCAAAGAAA
Long non-coding RNA from Notothenia coriiceps (black rockcod), 384 nucleotides. RefSeq lists it as uncharacterized. The transcript has 3 exons. Lineage: Eukaryota; Metazoa; Chordata; Actinopteri; Perciformes; Nototheniidae. The record is from RefSeq and is a predicted model, not a curated record.